GGCACGGGCUGUGGGGACUGAGGGUGGACAGACGGUGUGGGACUGCAGGCUGGGACGCAGACCACAGGUAGGGGUGGUGUGAUCUCAGAAUGCUGUUACUGCUUGUAUUUGGCUUCAGGGUCAUGAUUUUCCCCCUGUCUUGUGCCUGUAAAACAUCUAUUUCGUCCCUAGCCUGAGCAGAGGGAAUCUGUUUGUGGAGUGGACAGCAAUGGUGGCCUUGCCAUUGGUGAGUCUGACCGCUGGGUCUACAGCGAGAUGCUGUUGUCAUCCUCCUCUGGACUGCCAUGAAAAGUGGACCCAAUAAGCACCUGGCUCCAAAGUCUGCCCACCUCUUGGACUCUUGAUACUCCUUAGCAGCUGUUGGCUCUGUUGCAUUUGUGGUAUUUGGUUGCAGUGCCCUCUGCAUACCUGACCCCAGGGAUAUGGCAGAAGAGGGUCAGACCAAGAUUGUAAGGGUCAUAUAGGGUGUGUAGGGGUGGAGUGUAUGGUCAGGCCGCUCAAGAUGGGUGUUCUCUUGCUCUCUGUACAUCCCCAGCUCGACCAGGCCCUGCUUCACUCACAUAACCAUCUAAUCCUCUUAAUCAUAGGCCUUAAUCAGUAACUACUAACUACCUAUGUGCUUGCCCCUGCCCCAGCUGCUGGUUUGCCUGGUAACUGAGGAGCCCACCUGAAGUCAAUUCCCCCUGUAACUGGUAGCCUCCUCCCCUGGAGUAGCGAAAACUGCUGCCGUGUCCUGCCUAUCGUCUUCCAUCCACAGUGGGGAGUCGCUCCAGGAUGUUGUUUUGGACACGUAAGAUCCCCUAUCCAACAAAUUGUUGUCAUCUCUGUCGCUGCCUCUGGGCUCUUCGGUCUCAAGGCUGGGCUACUAUAAGGCCCAACAGUCACGUGUCCUCCAAGAGACCCUUGCCAAACACAGGGUGAUUCCAAGUAAGCACUUGGCCCAGCCCUGCCGGCCUUCCCCCCAGGCCUCUGCUCUGUGCUCCCCACCCUGCCAAGCCCCCACCUGACAUCCCGUCUCCUCUUCUCCCGUAAGGCUGUUAGUGAGAAGUUCCCCUCCUCUCCUGCCUCCCUCCAGUCUCUCCUCUACUCAGCCCAACCGGGAAGAGUGAGAAUCCUCCAGCUGAAAUUCUCUGGGUCUAGAAACGGGUGUGAACAGUGUCCACAGAGGGCUCCCAGGAAGGAACAGCAGCGUUUGUCCUCUGGCUACAGAGCAUCAGCCUCCUGAUGCAGGAUCGAGUGCUGGGGAAGCCCUCGUGCAGCCCCAGUCUCUCAAAAUCCAACCUGCCACUAGCCCAGGCAGGCUGGCAUCAGCAGUGCAUGGGAAGCUGGAAUCUGACCCCUGGCGUUGGGCCUGGUCUCCAUGGCAGCCGUGGAUUUAUAACCGGGGCCUCCACCCAGCUUGGCGGACUUUCGACUUGAAGACUUGAAGCCGGGAGGAAGGGGAACAGGAAGGCGGUUCUGGGAGCAGCGAGCGCACGGGUGGCAGCCGGAGGCCCCGCGAUGGCCAAGUUUCUUUCCCAGGACCAAAUUAAUGAGUACAAGGAAUGCUUCUCCCUGUACGACAAGCAGCAGCGGGGGAAGAUGAAAGCCACUGACCUCCUGAUGGUGAUGAGGUGCCUGGGGGCCAGCCCGACGCCGGGGGAGGUGCAGCGGCACCUGCAGACUCACGGGAUAGACAGAAAUGGAGAGCUGGAUUUCUCUACUUUCCUGACCAUUAUGCACAUGCAAAUAAAACAAGAGGACCCAGAGAAGGAAAUUCUUUUGGCCAUGUUGAUGGCGGACAAGGAGAAGAAAGGCUACAUCAUGGCGUCUGAACUGCGGUCAAAACUCAUGAAACUGGGAGAGAAGCUCACCCACAAAGAAGUGGAUGAUCUUUUCAGGGAAGCAGAUAUUGAACCUAAUGGCAAAGUGAAGUAUGACGAAUUUAUCCACAAGAUCACCAGUCCUGUGCAGGACUACUGAAUGAGGAGAAAGCAAGAGAGCCUCCCCUGGGCCGGAAAACUCAGACUGAUGAAUCUUUAAAAAGAAAAGCAUUCCUUUCACUUGCGGGAGAUGGCAAACACAGCAAGAUGACAUACCUGACCACAGCAGAGGAGCACUUUUCACCAGAUGCUGUCAUCGACUCCCCUAAAGUCACCUUUCAAUCUACUCGAAUUUACUCCUCACAAGCACCUCAUGAGGUAUGUAAUUACUUUGGUCUCAUUUUGUGGAUAAGAACGUUUUUACAUUAAGCAAGUUGUAAGACAGAUUUUCUUUCUCAAAUUCCUUCAUUUCCCACUAUCUGUUCCAGAUUCUAACUCAGAGACUCCUGAGUGACAUGAGAGGGGAAGAGAUCUGAGGGGGUGUCUGACUGCUGGUGUGGAGGCUAUUACAGAAGGAUCAGCUCUCAUCCCUGGCUGCCAGGAAGUCAUUGUAAUCUGGCCCCUUCCAAGUCACAUUCUUGUCCAUAUUGCCCAAUGUGUAAUGCGACGAAGAGCAAGUAAACCAACAUGAAUAAAAUGCCUCAUUAUGAUAUCUAAACUUGGAGAAAAGUACAACAAGCAGGUGUAGAUAAAAAUAUGACAACAACACGAACACUUUGGGGAUCCACCCACUGUCUACACUAGAACAGAUUAUAACAUAAGGAUCCUGCAAAAUGUAUAGUACUGUGUUUUUUGUUUGUUUGUUUGUUUUGGCCAUUCCGCAAGGCAUGUGGGAUCUUAGGUCCCCAACUGGGGAUCGAACCUGCAUCCCCUGCACUGGAAGCGUGGAGUCUUAACCACUAGACCGCCAGGGAAGUCCCAGUACUGCGGUUCUUGAUAGUGAGUUUGGCAGUGGGCUAACAGGCAGUGAGAAACGGGGCUACACUGUCUAACAGAGUAGCUGCUAACCACCUGAUGUGGCUAUUUAAAUUUACUAAGAUUAAAUAAAAUGAAAAAUUCAGUUCUUUAGUCAUACUAGCCAAAUUUUAAAUGCUCCAUAACCACAUGUGGCUAGUGGCUACUGUACUGGUCAGAUUACAUUUCCCUAAUUGCAGGAAGUUCUAUUGGACAGAGCUGAAAUAGGGUUUUCAUAACAAUCACUAAGAAUCCACUCAACUAUCUCAGCUCCCAAGAUCCUUGCCAGUGACCCUGAAUUUUACUGUAGGAAAUGGGUGGAAGGCACUUUGUGCUUUUGUAUUAUAUUUUCUACAAUGAGCAUAUAUGGCUUUUUGUAAUUUAAAAAAUGUUCUCAGACUAUAUGGCUAAUAUACAAAUUAUUAAAUUACAAAGAUAAUGAGAACUAGUAAUUCUUUUUGAUAAUGUAAAUGAUUAUUAUGAACUCAAAAUACAUCGUAGAAAUGAGUAUACUGACAUU
Physeter macrocephalus (sperm whale) is the source of this 3336-nucleotide RNA transcript. It is a transcript of the gene named calmodulin like 4, with no coding region annotated. The transcript is spliced from 7 exons. NCBI's taxonomy places the organism in Eukaryota, Metazoa, Chordata, Mammalia, Artiodactyla, Physeteridae. The record is from RefSeq and is a predicted model, not a curated record.